GAUGAACGCUGGCGGCGUGCCUAAUACAUGCAAGUCGAGCGAACAGAUAAGGAGCUUGCUCCUUUGACGUUAGCGGCGGACGGGUGAGUAACACGUGGGUAACCUACCUAUAAGACUGGAAUAACUCCGGGAAACCGGGGCUAAUGCCGGAUAACAUUUAGAACCGCAUGGUUCUAAAGUGAAAGAUGGUUUUGCUAUCACUUAUAGAUGGACCCGGGCCGUAUUAGCUAGUUGGUAAGGUAACGGCUUACCAAGGCAACGAUACGUAGCCGACCUGAGAGGGUGAUCGGCCACACUGGAACUGAGACACGGUCCAGACUCCUACGGGAGGCAGCAGUAGGGAAUCUUCCGCAAUGGGCGAAAGCCUGACGGAGCAACGCCGCGUGUGUGAUGAAGGUCUUCGGAUCGUAAAGCUCUGUUAUUAGGGAAGAACAAAUGUGUAAGUAACUGUGCACGUCUUGACGGUACCUAAUCAGAAAGCCACGGCUAACUACGUG
Molecule: ribosomal RNA, 497 nt
Filed under: uncultured bacterium
Lineage: Bacteria
Description: partial 16S ribosomal RNA
Rfam family: Bacterial small subunit ribosomal RNA
Source: RNAcentral